Molecule: transfer RNA, 66 nt
Filed under: Parapolybia varia
Lineage: Eukaryota; Metazoa; Arthropoda; Insecta; Hymenoptera; Vespidae
Description: tRNA-Leu
Source: RNAcentral
AUUAUUUUGGCAGAAAAAGUGCUUUAAAUUUAGAAUUUAAAUAUAUAAUUUAUUUUAUAAAUAAUA